UUCGAUGGUAGGAUAGAGGCCUACCAUGGUUGCAACGGGUAACGGAGAAUUAGGGUUCAAUUCCGGAGAGGGAGCCUGAGAGACGGCUACCACAUCUAAGGAAGGCAGCAGGCGUGCAAAUUACCCAAUUUCAACUCGAAGAGGUAGUGACAAGAAAUAACAAUACAGGGCCCAACGGGUCUUGUAAUUGGAAUGAGCCAAAUUUAAAUCCCUGAACGAGGACCCAUUGGAGGGCAAGUCUGGUGCCAGCAGCCGCGGUAAUUCCAGCUCCAAUAGUGUAUAUUAGUGUUGUUGCAGUUGAAGCGCUCGUAGUUGGAUUUUGGAAUAGUUUGACUGGUCGUCCGUCAAGGUAUGUACUGGUUGAAUUGUUCUUUUUUCUGAAGAACUGUCAUGCUCUUUAUCGGGUGUGUCAGGGAUCCAGGACUUUUACUUUGA
This 435-nucleotide ribosomal RNA is filed under the name uncultured eukaryote. Its description in RNAcentral is "SSU rRNA". It matches the Rfam family "Eukaryotic small subunit ribosomal RNA", at positions 321 to 760 of the family's 1831-position model. The record is from RNAcentral.